UACGGGAGGCAGCAGUGGGGAAUAUUGCACAAUGGGCGCAAGCCUGAUGCAGCCAUGCCGCGUGUAUGAAGAAGGCCUUCGGGUUGUAAAGUACUUUCAGUCGUGAGGAAGGUGUUAAGGUUAAUAACCUUAGCAAUUGACGUUAGCGACAGAAGAAGCACCGGCUAACUCCGUGCCAGCAGCCGCGGUAAUACGGAGAGGGCUAGCGUUAUUCGGAAUUAUUGGGCGUAAAGAGCGCGUAGGCUGAUUAGUAAGUUAAAACGUGAAAUCCCAAAGCUAACUUUGGAAUUGCUUUUAAAACUGCUAGUCUAGAGAUUUGAAAGAGGAUAGAGGAAUUCCUAGUGUAGAGGUGAAAUUCGUAAAUAUUAGGAGGAACACCAGUGGCGAAGGCGUCUAUCUGGUUCAAAUCUGACGCUGAGGCGCGAAGGGCUUGGGGAGCAAACCAGGGAUUAGAUACCCGU
This 461-nucleotide ribosomal RNA is filed under the name uncultured bacterium. RNAcentral's name for it is "bacterial SSU rRNA". It matches the Rfam family "Bacterial small subunit ribosomal RNA", at positions 340 to 789 of the family's 1533-position model. The record is from RNAcentral.